This 468-nucleotide ribosomal RNA is filed under the name uncultured bacterium. Its description in RNAcentral is "partial 16S ribosomal RNA". It matches the Rfam family "Bacterial small subunit ribosomal RNA", at positions 28 to 507 of the family's 1533-position model. The record is from RNAcentral.
GACGAACGCUGGCGGCGUGCUUAACACAUGCAAGUCGAACGGAAAGGCCCUGCUCUUGUGGGGUGCUCGAGUGGCGAACGGGUGAGUAACACGUGAGUAACCUGCCCUUGACUUUGGGAUAACUUCAGGAAACUGGGGCUAAUACCGGAUAGGAGCUCCUGCUGCAUGGUGGGGGUUGGAAAGUUUCGGCGGUUGGGGAUGGACUCGCGGCUUAUCAGCUUGUUGGUGGGGUAGUGGCUUACCAAGGCUUUGACGGGUAGCCGGCCUGAGAGGGUUACCGGCGACAUUGGGACUACGGGACGGCGCAGACGCCAACGGGAGGCAGCGGGGGGGAGUAUGACACAAUGAGCGGGAGCCUGAUGCAGCGGCGCCGCGUGCGGGAUGACGGCCUUCGGGUUGUGAACCGCUGUCGCCUGUGACGAAGCGGGAGUGACGGUAAUGGGUAAGGAAGCACCGGCUAACUACGUG